RNAcentral lists this ribosomal RNA (305 nucleotides) under uncultured bacterium. RNAcentral's name for it is "bacterial SSU rRNA". It matches the Rfam family "Bacterial small subunit ribosomal RNA", at positions 335 to 633 of the family's 1533-position model. The record is from RNAcentral.
AUCCUACGGGGGGCAGCAGUAGGGAAUCUUCCACAAUGGGCGAAAGCCUGAUGGAGCAACGCCGCGUGGGUGAAGAAGGUCUUCGGAUCGUAAAACCCUGUUGUUAGAGAAGAAAGUGCGUGAGAGUAACUGUUCACGUUUCGACGGUAUCUAACCAGAAAGCCACGGCUAACUACGUGCCAGCAGCCGCGGUAAUACGUAGGUGGCAAGCGUUAUCCGGAUUUAUUGGGCGUAAAGGGAGCGCAGGCGGUCUUUUAAGUCUGAUGUGCAAGCCUUCGGCUUAACCGGGGUAGUGCAUUGGAAAC